Molecule: ribosomal RNA, 468 nt
Filed under: uncultured bacterium
Lineage: Bacteria
Description: partial 16S ribosomal RNA
Rfam family: Bacterial small subunit ribosomal RNA
Source: RNAcentral
GACGAACGCUGGCGGCGUGCUUAACACAUGCAAGUCGAACGGAAAGGCCCUGCUUUUGUGGGGUGCUCGAGUGGCGAACGGGUGAGUAACACGUGAGUAACCUGCCCUUGACUUUGGGAUAACUUCAGGAAACUGGGGCUAAUACCGGAUAGGAGCUCCUGCUGCAUGGUGGGGGUUGGAAAGUUUCGGCGGUUGGGGAGGGACUCGCGGCUUAUCAGCUUGUUGGUGGGGUAGUGGCUUACCAAGGCUUUGACGGGUAGCCGUCCUGAGAGGGUGACCGGCCACAUUGGGACUGAGAUACGGCCCAGACUCCUACGGGAGGCAGCAGUGGGGAAUAUUGCACAAUGGGCGGAAGCCUGAUGCAGCAACGCCGCGUGCGGGAUGACGGCCUUCGGGUUGUAAACCGCUUUCGCCUGUGACGAAGCGUGAGUGACGGUAAUGGGUAAAGAAGCACCGGCUAACUACGUG